This 773-nucleotide long non-coding RNA is filed under the name Dromaius novaehollandiae (emu). RNAcentral's name for it is "lncRNA (ENSDNVG00000001468.1)". The record is from RNAcentral. Lineage: Eukaryota; Metazoa; Chordata; Aves; Casuariiformes; Dromaiidae.
CUGUCUAUCCCAAGGACAACUCCGUAGAUGAGGUGGUUACAGGUCACUGCCGGUCUGUAUUCCUGCAAUGACAGAGAUCAAAGCAUGGCUAGAACAGUUCUUUGCUUGCUGUUUCUCUUGGAGGAUUCCCCCAGAAUAAGACUUUGAUCUCCUCUUGGGCAGGGUGGAGGCAGCUGCUCUGAAAUCGCCAUCUCGGUCUGUUCGAGAGCCGCAGGACCACGCCGAUAAUCCAGGAUAGCUGCAACUGAAGGGAAGAUGGCAGCUGCGAGGGAGCUUCAGCUGUGCGGUAUUAAAACCUUGCAGGCCGGCGGGGGACUAAUGUGUUACACACUUCCAGUUUUGAUGCGCUWUUGAGGAAGAACGCAAAAGGUUGCCCCAAUGCCUUUGUGAAUUAAGGCCUUGAAAGCAGUUUGUCCUCAGUAAAGAUGGUCUUACUCCGCUUGAAGGUGCAACUCCCCUAAUAAUAACAUCCACCAUUUGCYGCUGACUGCAGUGAGACCGAUGCCAAAAGCUGUUCCUCUUCCUGGCGUCUGGCAGCAGUCGGAUCUGCACCCGUGCAGCGCAAGCCCGGGGUGCUCGGCAGACGUCUGAAAUCUGGCGACCUCCCUGCCGGCUGGCCGCCCCUGCGAGCUUUGGUCCUGGUCGCAAAGGACGUGUGUGGCAGAGCCCCAAGUAGGAUCCGAGCCUUUCGGYCUCUCGUAGAGGUACAAGACCAUCUGUCUUCAGUGGCAACGGGCUGCUUGCGUAGGUAUGCGAUACAGGAGAAAACAUUU